Molecule: ribosomal RNA, 238 nt
Filed under: uncultured bacterium
Lineage: Bacteria
Description: partial 16S ribosomal RNA
Rfam family: Bacterial small subunit ribosomal RNA
Source: RNAcentral
CCGAAACGGGUGCGGAACACGUACGCAACCUUCCUUUAAGCGGGGGAUAGCCCAGAGAAAUUUGGAUUAAUACCCCAUAGUAUAAUUUUCAGGCAUCUGGGAGUUAUUAAAGAUUUAUCACUUGAAGAUGGGUGUGCGUCUGAUUAGGUAGUUGGUGCGGGUAACGGCCCACCAAGCCAACGAUCAGUAACUGGUGUGAGAGCACGACCAGUCACACGGGCACUGAGACACGGGCCCG